AUUGAACGCUGGCGGCAUGCCUUACACAUGCAAGUCGGACGGCAGCAUGGGCUUCGGCCUGAUGGCGAGUGGCGAACGGGUGAGUAAAGCAUCGGAACGUACCUUUUGGUGGGGGGAUAACGCGGCGAAAGUUGCGCUAAUACCGCAUAGUAUUCUGAGGAAUAAAGCAGGGGACCGUAAGGCCUUGCGCCAUGAGAUCGGCCGAUGUCGGAUUAGCUAGUUGGUGGGGUAAAGGCCUACCAAGGCGACGAUCCGUAGCGGGUCUGAGAGGAUGAUCCGCCACACUGGGACUGAGACACGGCCCAGACUCCUACGGGAGGCAGCAGUGGGGAAUUUUGGACCAAUGGGCGGAAGCCUGAUCCAGCCAUGCCGCGUGAGUGAAGAAGGCCU
This 390-nucleotide ribosomal RNA is filed under the name uncultured bacterium. RNAcentral's name for it is "bacterial SSU rRNA". It matches the Rfam family "Bacterial small subunit ribosomal RNA", at positions 30 to 417 of the family's 1533-position model. The record is from RNAcentral.